Molecule: ribosomal RNA, 496 nt
Filed under: uncultured bacterium
Lineage: Bacteria
Description: partial 16S ribosomal RNA
Rfam family: Bacterial small subunit ribosomal RNA
Source: RNAcentral
GCUGAACGCUGGCGGCGUGCCUAAUACAUGCAAGUCGAGCGAACGGACGAGAAGCUUGCUUCUCUGAUGUUAGCGGCGGACGGGUGAGUAACACGUGGAUAACCUACCUAUAAGACUGGGAUAACUUCGGGAAACCGGAGCUAAUACCGGAUAAUAUUUUGAACCGCAUGGUUCAAAAGUGAAAGACGCUCUUGCUGUCACUUAUAGAUGGAUCCGCGCUGCAUUAGCUAGUUGGUAAGGUAACGGCUUACCAAGGCAACGAUGCAUAGCCGACCUGAGAGGGUGAUCGGCCACACUGGAACUGAGACACGGUCCAGACUCCGAGGGGAGGCAGCAGCAGGGAAUCUGACGCAAGGGGCGAAAGCCUGACGGAGCAACGCCGAGUGAGUGAUGAAGGGCUUCGGAUCGUAAAACCCUGUUAUUAGGGAAGAACAUAUGUGUAAGUAACUGUGCACAUCUUGACGGUACCUAAUAAGAAAGCCACGGCUAACUACGU